AGGUGAUAAAUGAAGGACUGGAAUGUGAAGUUAUGAGGAAAAGAUUAAAUGAUCUUCCCCCAGCAAAUUGAAGAUGGAGUUACAAUGCUUUCAGGAGUUGACUAGCAAAGGGAUAUAGCACUGAAUGGGCCAAUAAAUAUCACUUGUUUUCAAGGUAUGGGAGGUCAAACUCCUAAUCCCAAGAUUCUGCACCUGUAACAGAGAAGCUACUGUUGCUAAUUUGAAGCAUUCACCAGGGAAAGACAAUUAACUCAUUGACUGGAACAAGGGAAAUUUAAUAG
Molecule: long non-coding RNA, 281 nt
Organism: Thamnophis elegans (Western terrestrial garter snake)
Lineage: Eukaryota; Metazoa; Chordata; Lepidosauria; Squamata; Natricidae
Exons: 3
Source: RefSeq, a predicted model, not a curated record